AUGAACGCUGACAGAAUGCUUAACACAUGCCAGUCAACUUGAAUUUGGGUUUUUAACUUAGGUUUGGGUGGCGGACGGGUGAGUAACGCGUAAAGAACUUGCCUCACAGCUAGGGACAACAUUUGGAAACGAAUGCUAAUACCUAAUAUUAUGAUAAUAGGGCAUCCUAUAAUUAUGAAAGCUAUAAGCGCUGUGAGAGAGCUUUGCGUCCCAUUAGCUAGUUGGAGAGGUAACGGCUCACCAAGGCGAUGAUGGGUAGCCGGCCUGAGAGGGUGAUCGGCCACAAGGGGACUGAGACACGGCCCUUACUCCUACGGGAGGCAGCAGUGGGGAAUAUUGGACAAUGGACCAAGAGUCUGAUCCAGCAAUUCUGUGUGCACGAUGAAGUUUUUCGGAAUGUAAAGUGCUUUCAGUUGGGAAGAAAGAAAUGACGGUACCAACAGAAGAAGUGACGGCUAAAUACGUG
This 466-nucleotide ribosomal RNA is filed under the name uncultured bacterium. RNAcentral describes it as "partial 16S ribosomal RNA". It matches the Rfam family "Bacterial small subunit ribosomal RNA", at positions 29 to 507 of the family's 1533-position model. The record is from RNAcentral.